Molecule: microRNA precursor, 75 nt
Filed under: Myotis lucifugus (little brown bat)
Lineage: Eukaryota; Metazoa; Chordata; Mammalia; Chiroptera; Vespertilionidae
Description: mir-9229 microRNA precursor family
Rfam family: mir-9229 microRNA precursor family
Source: Rfam by way of RNAcentral
AGACACCCUUCUGGGGCAAGACUUGCCUCAGUGGGGCUUUGGUGUUCACUGAGUCUGCUCCCUGAGUGUGUCCCU